UUUAUCGACCGACUGUAUAGCAAAUACACAGGUUUUAGUUAAAGAUGUUUAGAAUUUAGAGCUGAUAUGUGACCAGUGCCUUGUAUUGUAUUCAUCCGAAACGUUGGCCGUAACAAUAACGGUCCUAAGGUAGCGAAAUUC
RNAcentral lists this ribosomal RNA (141 nucleotides) under uncultured Symbiodinium. Its description in RNAcentral is "partial Bacterial large subunit ribosomal RNA". It matches the Rfam family "Bacterial large subunit ribosomal RNA", at positions 1792 to 1967 of the family's 2925-position model. Lineage: Eukaryota; Dinophyceae; Suessiales; Symbiodiniaceae. The record is from RNAcentral.